CGAGAAUAGAGUAGCAGGGUGGUGUCUCCUGCGCCCGUAAGGGUUCUUCCCAGCCACGG
RNAcentral lists this non-coding RNA (59 nucleotides) under unclassified sequences. The record is from RNAcentral.